RNAcentral lists this transfer RNA (72 nucleotides) under Actinobaculum sp. 313. RNAcentral's name for it is "tRNA-Glu". It matches the Rfam family "tRNA". Rfam says of the family: Transfer RNA (tRNA) molecules are approximately 80 nucleotides in length. Their secondary structure includes four short double-helical elements and three loops (D, anti-codon, and T loops). The record is from RNAcentral. Lineage: Bacteria; Bacillati; Actinomycetota; Actinomycetes; Actinomycetales; Actinomycetaceae.
GCCCCCAUCGUCUAGUGGUCUAGGACAUCGCCCUUUCACGGCGACGACACCGGUUCGAACCCGGUUGGGGUA